GUGAGUCAUCGAAUCUUUGAACGCACAUUGCGCCCCUUGGUAUUCCGGGGGGCAUGCCCGUUCGAGCGUCAUUUCACCACUCAAGCCUCGCUUGGUGUUGGGCCACGGGGGUGACCCGGGCCUCAAAGUUGUCGGCCGGACGGUCCGAAUCUCAGCGUCGUGGCAACUAUUCGCUGGCGAGACGGGCGAUCCGCGCCGUGAAACCUCUAUCACAGGUUGACCUCGGAUCGGGUAGGGAUACCCGCUGAACUUAAGCAUAUCAAUAAGCGGAGGA
Molecule: unclassified non-coding RNA, 274 nt
Filed under: fungal sp.
Lineage: Eukaryota; Fungi
Description: partial contains 5.8S ribosomal RNA, internal transcribed spacer 2, and large subunit ribosomal RNA
Rfam family: 5.8S ribosomal RNA (bases 1-71)
Source: RNAcentral